This 497-nucleotide ribosomal RNA is filed under the name uncultured bacterium. Its description in RNAcentral is "partial 16S ribosomal RNA". It matches the Rfam family "Bacterial small subunit ribosomal RNA", at positions 28 to 507 of the family's 1533-position model. The record is from RNAcentral.
GAUGAACGCUGGCGGCGUGCCUAAUACAUGCAAGUCGAGCGAACAGACGAGGAGCUUGCUCCUCUGACGUUAGCGGCGGACGGGUGAGUAACACGUGGAUAACCUACCUAUAAGACUAGGAUAACUUCGGGAAACCGGAGCUAAUACCGGAUAAUAUAUUCAACCGCAUGGUUCAAUAGUGAAAGACGGUUUUGCUGUCACUUAUAGAUGGAUCCGCGCGGCAUUGGCUAGUUGGUAAGGUAACGGCUUACCAAGGCAACGGUGCGUAGCCGACCUGAGAGGGUGAUCGGCCACACUGGAGCUGAGACACGGUCCAGACUCCUACGGGAGGCAGCAGUAGGGAAUCGUCCGCAAAGGGCGAAAGCUUGACGGAGCAACGCCGCGUGAGUGAUGAAGGUCUUCGGAUCGUAAAACUCUGUUAUUAGGGAAGAACAAAUGUGUAAGUAACUAUGCACGUCUUGACGGUACCUAAUCAGAAAGCCACGGCUAACUACGUG